AGAGUUUGAUCCUGGCUCAGAUUGAACGCUGGCGGCAGGCCUAACACAUGCAAGUCGAGCGCGAAAGCACUUCGGUGUGAGUAGAGCGGCGGACGGGUGAGUAAUGCUUGGGAAUCUACCUAGUAGUGGGGGACAACGUGUGGAAACGCACGCUAAUACCGCAUACGUCCUACGGGAGAAAGCAGGGGACCUUCGGGCCUUGCGCUAUCAGAUGAGCCCAAGUCGGAUUAGCUAGUUGGUGGGGUAAUGGCUCACCAAGGCUACGAUCCGUAGCUGGUCUGAGAGGAUGAUCAGCCACACUGGGACUGAGACACGGCCCAGACUCCUACGGGAGGCAGCAGUGGGGAAUAUUGCACAAUGGGCGAAAGCCUGAUGCAGCCAUGCCGCGUGUGUGAAGAAGGCUCUAGGGUUGUAAAGCACUUUCAGUAGGGAGGAAAAGCAUAUAGUUAAUAACUGUGUGCCGUGACGUUACCUACAGAAGAAGCACCGGCAAACUCCGUGCCAGCAGCCGCGGUAAUACGGAGGGUGCGAGCGUUAAUCGGAAUUACUGGGCGUAAAGCGCACGUAGGUGGUUUGAUAAGCUAGCUGUGAAAGCCCCGGGCUCAACCUGGGAACUGCAGUUAGAACUGUCUGACUAGAGUAUAGUAGAGGGUGGCGGAAUUUCCUGUGUAGCGGUGAAAUGCGUAGAUAUAGGAAGGAACAUCAGUGGCGAAGGCGGCCACCUGGACUAAUACUGACACUGAGGUGCGAAAGCGUGGGGGAGCAAACAGGAUUAGAUACCCUGGUAGUCCACGCCGUAAACGAUGUCUACUAGCCGUUGGAAGACUUGAUCUUUUAGUGGCGCAACUAACGCGAUA
RNAcentral lists this ribosomal RNA (857 nucleotides) under uncultured bacterium. Its description in RNAcentral is "bacterial SSU rRNA". It matches the Rfam family "Bacterial small subunit ribosomal RNA", at positions 8 to 862 of the family's 1533-position model. The record is from RNAcentral.